CCUACGGGAGGCAGCAGUGAGGAAUAUUGGUCAAUGGGAGAGAUCCUGAACCAGCCAAGCCGCGUGAGGGAAGACGGCCCUAUGGGUUGUAAACCUCUUUUGUCGGAGAACAAAACCCGGGACGUGUCCCGUACUGCGUGUAUCCGACGACCAAGCAUCGGCUAACUCCGUUCCAGCAGCAGCGGUAAUACGGAGGAUGCGAGCGUUGUCCGGAUUUAGUGGGUUGAAAGGGUGCGUAGGCGGUCCGUUAAGUCAGCGGUAAAAUUGCGGGGCUCAACCCCGGCGAGCCGUUGAAACUGGCAGACUUGAGUGGGCGAGAAGUAAGUGGAAUGCGCGGUGUAGCGGUGAAAUGCAUAGAUAUCGCGCAGAACGCCGAUUGCGAAGGCAGCGUACCGGCGCCAGACUGACGCUGAGGCACGAAAGCGUGGGGAUCGAACAGGAUUAGAUACCCCUGUAGUC
RNAcentral lists this ribosomal RNA (459 nucleotides) under uncultured bacterium. RNAcentral's name for it is "partial 16S ribosomal RNA". It matches the Rfam family "Bacterial small subunit ribosomal RNA", at positions 338 to 795 of the family's 1533-position model. The record is from RNAcentral.